This is a long non-coding RNA of Notolabrus celidotus (New Zealand spotty), 344 nucleotides long. RefSeq lists it as uncharacterized. The record is from RefSeq and is a predicted model, not a curated record. The transcript is spliced from 3 exons. NCBI's taxonomy places the organism in Eukaryota, Metazoa, Chordata, Actinopteri, Labriformes, Labridae.
AACGUCUUCCUUGUGUUCUAUGUUCGUUGUUUUUUCCUAGUGUUUCCUUGUUUUCCAUUUUCCACUUUUUGGGUUUAGUUUCUUGGAAAUAUGUUGAGAAAGCAGCUCUGCGGGGGAUGGAGAGAAAGACGAGCGAUUAUAAACUGGAUAACUCAAGCUGGCAGUGAUCCAGGAGAUCCUGCAGAACGUGCUGCUUGAACACAGAAACACGAAGGAUCAGUGAAACUGAUUUUGAAUCAAGAUGAGGAAUAGCAAUCAGAAACUCGAGUCUGAGUUCAUGACCCAGCUGUCCCUAAACCGUUCAGCAGAGAGGCUGAUGGCUGCACAUAUGUAAAUAAAAUACA